AGACUUUCUCAAGCCUUUUAACUAAGAUCAAUGUGGUGUUUGUUCUUAUCAGUUUAAUAUCCUAUAACCCCAAUAUGGGGGCCAUGGUAUUUUAGAACACGGAGAUGGAGGAAGAACUUGUACUUUCCACUCAAGGCAUUGACCUUGUUUUGCAGUACCUCCACGUCCAGUGCACCUCUC
RNAcentral lists this small nuclear RNA (180 nucleotides) under Leptobrachium leishanense (Leishan spiny toad). Its description in RNAcentral is "U2 spliceosomal RNA (ENSLLEG00000000956.1)". It matches the Rfam family "U2 spliceosomal RNA". Rfam says of the family: U2 is a small nuclear RNA (snRNA) component of the spliceosome (involved in pre-mRNA splicing). Complementary binding between U2 snRNA (in an area lying towards the 5' end but 3' to hairpin I) and the branchpoint sequence (BPS) of the intron results the bulging out of an unpaired adenosine, on the BPS, which initiates a nucleophilic attack at the intronic 5' splice site, thus starting the first of two transesterification reactions that mediate splicing. The record is from Rfam by way of RNAcentral. Lineage: Eukaryota; Metazoa; Chordata; Amphibia; Anura; Megophryidae.